GCCAAGUACGUGUAAUUAAUGCCCAGAGAAGCCUGGAGGGAAUCCGCUCCUCCUCUCAUCGCCAAGCCAGUCCUUCCUCCGGGCAGCGCUAGCAACAGGACCAGGAGCCCCUUCUUCUCCAGGGAGGCCCAGGCGCGCACCGUGGCCCACCCCCCCACACUCUGAAAUCCCGAGUCAGGCCCAAAGUAACCCCAUUGGCUUUUUAAAAAAUAAUGAAGGUUGGGUUCCUUUUCUUGGCCUUCGGGUUUUGGAGCCUUCACAUAGCACAUUUCCAAGCUUUUCCUUGCAGCCAGGAGGCCUCAAAACCUCUUCCAUAAAUGAGAGCCAACAGCCAAGUUGCUGCUGAGUCACAUUAGUCGUGGAGAUUUAAGAAAACAACGAAUAUCACAAGACUUGCAAUAAAAAGAGCUGAUAAUAGUGGGGCCCGACUAGCCUCGUUUUCUCUGGCUCUAGAUAGAGGGUAAAAUCCUAGCUCCACUGAAGCCAAUGGGACUUUUGCCUUCACAGGUCCAGGGUGUCACCUCAAGCUCCCACACAAACUGGCAGAAACAUGCUCUCUUUUCAUCAGGGAAAAUGCAGAGAGUGCAUCCUCCCACUUCUCCACUCUCUUGGCUGGCUUUCUGUUCAUUUCCAACUUAUCUUUAAAGCCCUCAGUGGGCCUGUACCUAGGCCAUAACCGGGCCAGGCAGCUAUGCUCAGAGCAUGCUGAAGUUGGAGGCAGGGCAUUCUCAACAGAGAGUUCUUUACUGCUAAACUCCUAAUGGACAAGAUCAAGGUACCCUCACUUCUCUGAUUGCUCUUUGAUGUAUUCUUCUUGUAUCUUAGAGCACUUGAAGCUGGAGAUGUCAUGUUUUAUGCUGGGAAAAAUUACUGUUACGUUUGGGAUUAGAAAAUUAGCUAAAGGAAAAAGUGACACAUACCUGUCACUGAAGAGAUGGCUUCGAAUCUGUAUCCUAUCUGUAUCUGUAUACCAUCCAUAGCCCCAUUCCUGAAAACAUAGCAGUGUUUAAAUAAAUCCAGUUAAUGGAAUAAAUGUAUGUAGUAAAAACACAAAUCUCAAAUUAUCUCAUAAUUAACCAAAAAUGUUCAGACAGAAAAAUUUCUCCCUGUAUACUGAAAAGUAACUUUUUCUGACCCCUUCAUUGUCAAUAAAUGUCAUAUAAAUAAUCAACCAUGAAAUCUUCAAACAAAUAUUGCAUCCACCACAAUCUCUCUACCACCGAGAGGACAGCUAUACAGUCCCUGAAAUCCAG
Chrysemys picta bellii (western painted turtle) is the source of this 1253-nucleotide long non-coding RNA. RefSeq lists it as uncharacterized. NCBI's taxonomy places the organism in Eukaryota, Metazoa, Chordata, Testudines, Emydidae. The record is from RefSeq and is a predicted model, not a curated record.